Molecule: ribosomal RNA, 446 nt
Filed under: uncultured bacterium
Lineage: Bacteria
Description: partial 16S ribosomal RNA
Rfam family: Bacterial small subunit ribosomal RNA
Source: RNAcentral
CCUACGGGUGGCAGCAGUCGAGAAUCUUUCACAAUGGGGGAAACCCUGAUGGUGCGACGCCGCGUGGGGGAAUGAAGGUCUUCGGAUUGUAAACCCCUGUCAUGUGGGAGCAAAUUAAAAAGAUAGUACCACAAGAGGAAGAGACGGCUAACUCUGUGCCAGCAGCCGCGGUAAUACAGCGGUCUCAAGCGUUGUUCGGAAUCACUGGGGGUAAAGCGUGCGUAGGCGGGUUGGUAAGUCGGUUGUGAAAGGCGGGGGCUCAACCCGCGGACGGCACAUGAUACUGGGAGACUAGAGUAAUGGAGGGGGAGGCGGAAUUCGCGGUGUAGCAGUGAAAUGCGUAGAUAUCAGGAGGAACACUGGUGGCGAAGGCGGGUUCCUGGACAUUAACUGACGCUGAGGCACGAAGGCGAGGGGAGCGAAAGGGAUUAGAUACCCGAGUAGUC